Molecule: transfer RNA, 73 nt
Filed under: Bos taurus (domestic cattle)
Lineage: Eukaryota; Metazoa; Chordata; Mammalia; Artiodactyla; Bovidae
Also listed under: 5 other names
Rfam family: tRNA
About the family: Transfer RNA (tRNA) molecules are approximately 80 nucleotides in length. Their secondary structure includes four short double-helical elements and three loops (D, anti-codon, and T loops).
Source: Rfam by way of RNAcentral
UACCUUACGGUCCAGUGGUUAGGACUCUGCCCUUCCACUGCAGAAGGCCCAGGUUUGAUCCCUGGUCGGGGAA